This 425-nucleotide ribosomal RNA is filed under the name uncultured bacterium. Its description in RNAcentral is "partial 16S ribosomal RNA". It matches the Rfam family "Bacterial small subunit ribosomal RNA", at positions 354 to 796 of the family's 1533-position model. The record is from RNAcentral.
GUGGGGAAUAUUGGACAAUGGGCGCAAGCCUGAUCCAGCCAUGCCGCGUGAGUGAUGAAGGCCUUAGGGUUGUAAAGCUCUUUCAGUGGGGACGAUAAUGACGGUACCCACAGAAGAAGCCCCGGCUAACUUUGUGCCAGCAGCCGCGGUAAUACGAAGGGGGCUAGCGUUGUUCGGAUUUACUGGGCGUAACGCGCACGUAGGCGGAUCGUUAAGUCGGGGGUGAAAUCCUGGAGCUCAACUCCAGAACUGCCUUCGAUACUGGCGAUCUUGUGUCCGGUAGAGGUGAGUGGAACUCCGAGUGUAGAGGUGGAAUUCGUAGAUAUUAGGAAGAACACCAGUGGCGAAGGCGGCUCACUGGUCCGGUACUGACGCUGAGGUGCGAAAGCGUGGGGAGCAAACAGGAUUAAAAACCCCGGUAGUCC